UACGUAGGUGGCAAGCGUUGUCCGGAUUUACUGGGCGUAAAGGAUGCGUAGGCGGAUAUUUAAGUCAGAUGUGAAAUUCCCGGGCUCAACUUGGGAGCUGCAUUUGAAACUGGAUAUCUAGAGUGCGGGAGAGGAGAGUGGAAUUCCUGGUGUAGCGGUGGAAUGCGCAGAUAUCAGGAGGAACACCGAUAGCGAAAGGCAGCUCGCUGGGACGGUACUGACGCUGAGGCGCGAAAGCGUGGGGAGCGAACAGG
This 254-nucleotide ribosomal RNA is filed under the name uncultured bacterium. RNAcentral describes it as "partial 16S ribosomal RNA". It matches the Rfam family "Bacterial small subunit ribosomal RNA", at positions 524 to 776 of the family's 1533-position model. The record is from RNAcentral.